RNAcentral lists this long non-coding RNA (2207 nucleotides) under Homo sapiens (human). Its description in RNAcentral is "non-protein coding lnc-FTCDNL1-1:1". Lineage: Eukaryota; Metazoa; Chordata; Mammalia; Primates; Hominidae. The record is from RNAcentral.
GCUGCGCGCGGGCCACGCGCGGCGGCGGAGGCUGCGCGCGGGCCACGCGCGGCGGCGACUUGGGCUGGGCGGUCGCCCUGCCCCACCGCCCUUCGGCGCUCGCAGGUCCGCUCCCCUCCCAAACCGCAGAGCGGCAGGCGCGGCCGCUGGUUCGAGAGCUCGGCCGGGGCAGCGCAGCCGCCGGCUGCCCCUCGCUCCCAGGCGCCACAACCCCGCGCCCUCGCCGCUGCUGCGUCCCGCGAGACCUGUGGGGAGGCCGGGAGUCACUUCGGGUUCCCUUUCAGCCCACGUGGUCCUGGGACACUCCACCCAGGAACCUAGUCGGCACCGCGCAGGGAAUCCCAGCAGCGGGGUUCUGGCCCCAGCACGCGUUGCGGCAGCCUGGCGAGCGUCCUUGCGGCCUCCAAGUGCCGGUGGGAAAAAUCAUGUCUUCUUCCAGAGUGGGGCUCCGUUUGGCUGCCUGUUUACUAAACGUUUCAGAAGCCGGAAGAAAAUACAUUGUUGAGAACAUAGCAAAAGCAGCUCUUCUUGACAAAAAUGAGGAAAGAAACAUCCUCAAGUUUCAGUGCUCAAUAUAUUUUCCGAUCAAGACUACAAGAGAUCAGUCAUUACAAUAGCAACUUCUGUUGAUAAGUUGGGCCUUGCUGAGGAUCUGGUGCUGCAUGUUCCUGGCUGCAGCGUGUUUCUCUUUGGCGAAGCUGACCUGCCUGAGAAGCGCAGUCUUGUGCAGAGAAGGAAGCAGCUGGGCUGGUUCACGAGGAGGGAUUUCAGUGCUCUUCAGCCUGACCUGGGAGCUGCCCCUUCCCAAAGAUGUGGUUUAACAGAGACGAGGUCUCACUAUGUUGCCCUGGCUAGUCUCCAAUUCUUGCUGUCUCGCGAGCCUCCCAUCUUGGCCUCCCAAAGUCCUGGGAUUACAGGGAUGAGCUACCAUGUCCAGCCCCAGAUCCAACUCUAAGAAAACACAGUCCAUCAGUCACUGAAGAGCACGUCAGUGUAUCCGUCUCUCCCUGUGUGAAUCCUGUUACUUGGACUUGUGUAGAGGUUGCAGUUUCAUCUUUCGUGUAGUAAUGACUGGCAUCAAUUUAUAUCGAUACAAUGAAAAAUUCUAAAGAACACUUUGUGGUAGAGAAAUAAAGGAGAUCUCGUCUUUGAAGAUGCAGAAUAUGGCAAGUAACUUUCCAGUAAAUCAUUCUAUUUUAGUGGAGGAGUUUUGAAGGAAGAUAAGCCCUGAGUUUCCUGAUUAUGUAUAAUUCAAAAAUAGAUAUUCAAAAGUCUCAGAGAUAACAUUCUUCUGUAUAGAUAGAAGAGUUUGCUUUGUCUAUAGAUCCCAUUGUACAGCUUGAAGAAGAGAAGAAUUAUUUUCUCAAAAUCUCAAAAAUCAUAUUUCUGCAAUUUUCUCAAUCUCAGAAUCACAUCUAAUUUCUGAUCAAAUUGGCAACACUCUCUAGUUCUAAGUGUUCAGUUCAUCUGGAAAGAACUUGGUGCAAUUUGUGUAAUUACUUUACAGCUAUCUGCAAAACAAACUGUGGGAGUCACGUCUCUGUCGAUGAAUGUAUAGAUUCAGGUCACUAGAACAUAAUCCUGAAACUGACAUUCUCUGUAAGAUUUUUCUCCUCUUUCGGUUCUCCUUUUUUUUUUUUUUUUUUUUUUUUUUUUGAGAAAGGGUUUCUCUCUGUCACCCAGGCUGGAAUGUAGUUGCACAAUCACGACUCACUGCAGUCUUGACCUCCUGGGCUCAGGUGAUCCUCCCACCUCCCUCCCAAGUCGCUGAGAAUACAGGUGUGUGCCACUACACCCAGCUAAUUUUUGUAUUUUUUGUAGAGAUGGGUUUUCGCCAUGUUUCCCAGCCUGUCUCCUUUCCUUUUUAUGAUUGAAUCCUUUUGAAAAGAAUGUUGUUUUGUUAUAAAAUUUUAAUAAAUGAAGAAUUUAUUUUGGUGUUAAAAUCUUAAACCCUAUUAGAUGGUACCAUAAGGGUUUGUAUUCUACUCAGGAUAUGUCCAAGGAAAUGAUAGGAUUUGUUUGCAUAAGAUGGUAACAAUAUCUUAUCUUUUGAGGCUAAUCUUUAAAACCCAAGAGUAUGUGUUAAUUGUUGGGUUGUCCUUUUUCUUCUAUAGCAUCAAAAUAUUAUAUAAGUUAUUGUUAAUAAUUUUCAAUGAAUUCUUUAUGAUUUAAAUAAAAAUCAUUCUUAUUGGGCUCAUAUGUUUUAC